Molecule: ribosomal RNA, 495 nt
Filed under: uncultured bacterium
Lineage: Bacteria
Description: partial 16S ribosomal RNA
Rfam family: Bacterial small subunit ribosomal RNA
Source: RNAcentral
AUGAACGCUGGCGGCGUGCCUAAUACAUGCAAGUCGAGCGAACGGACGAGAAGCUUGCUUCUCUGAUGUUAGCGGCGGACGGGUGAGUAACCCGUGGAUAACCUACCUAUAAGACUGGGAUAACUUCGGGAAACCGGAGCUAAUACCGGAUAAUAUUUUGAACCGCAUGGUUCAAAAGUGAAAGACGGUCUUGCUGUCACUUAUAGAUGGAUCCGCGCUGCAUUAGCUAGUUGGUAAGGUAACGGCUUACCAAGGCAACGAUGCAUAGCCGACCUGAGAGGGUGAUCGGCCACACUGGAACUGAGACACGGUCCAGACUCCUACGGGAGGCAGCAGUAGGGAAUCUUCCGCAAUGGGCGAAAGCCUGACGGAGCAACGCCGCGUGAGUGAUGAAGGUCUUCGGAUCGUAAAACUCUGUUAUUAGGGAAGAACAUAUGUGUAAGUAACUGUGCACAUCUUGACGGUACCUAAGCAGAAAGCCACGGCUAACUACGU